AUACAGAGGGUGCGAGCGUUAAUCGGAAUUACUGGGCGUAAAGCGCGCGUAGGCGGCUUAUUAAGUCAGAUGUGAAAUCCCCGGGCUCAACCUGGGAACUGCAUCUGAUACUGGUAAGCUAGAGUUUUGGAGAGGGAAGUAGAAUUUCAGGUGUAGCGGUGAAAUGCAUAGAGAUCUGAAGGAAUACCAGUGGCGAAGGCGACUUCCUGGCCAAAAACUGACGCUGAGGUGCGAAAGCGUGGGGAGCAAACAGGAUUAGAUACCCUAGUAGUCC
RNAcentral lists this ribosomal RNA (274 nucleotides) under uncultured bacterium. RNAcentral describes it as "partial 16S ribosomal RNA". It matches the Rfam family "Bacterial small subunit ribosomal RNA", at positions 523 to 796 of the family's 1533-position model. The record is from RNAcentral.